Small nucleolar RNA from Rhinopithecus bieti (black snub-nosed monkey), 129 nucleotides. The record is from Ensembl. Lineage: Eukaryota; Metazoa; Chordata; Mammalia; Primates; Cercopithecidae.
UGCACUUAUGUAUGUUUUUGUUUAACUUGCGGACAAAGACUUAUGGAUAGGUGCAAAAAAAUAAGUCCUCUUUUGCAACCUGGAACUGAUUGUUCAGUGUGAGUUUUGAUACAUGUAAGAAGGGAUAUC